Molecule: ribosomal RNA, 279 nt
Filed under: uncultured bacterium
Lineage: Bacteria
Description: partial 16S ribosomal RNA
Rfam family: Bacterial small subunit ribosomal RNA
Source: RNAcentral
UGCCAGCAGCCGCGGUAAUACGAAGGGACCUAGCGUAGUUCGGAAUUACUGGGCUUAAAGAGUUCGUAGGCGGUUCAAAAAGUUAGAUGUGAAAUCCCUGGGCUCAACCCAGGAACUGCAUUUAAAACUAGUGAUCUAGAAUUUGGUAGGGGUUAGUAGAAUUUCCAGUGUAGAGGUGAAAUUCGUAGAUAUUGGAAAGAAUACCAGUGGCGAAGGCGACUAACUGGGCCAUUUUUGACGCUGAGAUACGAAAGCGUGGGUAGCAAACAGGAUUAGAUA